CCUACGGGCGUCAGCAGUAGGGAAUCUUCCACAAUGAGCGAAAGCCUGAUGGAGCGACGCCGCGUGGGUGAAGAAGGUCUUCGGAUCGUAAAACGCUGUUGUUAGAGAAGAAAGUGUGUGAGAGUAACUGUUCACGUCUCGACGGUAUCUUAUCAGAAAGUGACGGCUAACUACGUGCCAGCAGCCGCGGUAAUACGUAGGUGGCAAGCGUUAUCCGGAGUUAUUGGGCGUAAAGGGAAUGCUGGCGGUCUUAUAAGUCUGAUGUUAAAACCCUAGGCUUAACCCGAGUCGCGCUUUGGAAACUGGUUGACUUGAGUGAAAAAGAGGUGAGUGGAAUUCCAAGUGAAGCGGUGGAAUGCGUAGAUAUUAGGAAGAACACCAGCGGCGAAAGCAGCUCACUGGUUUGUCACUGACGCUGAGGUUCGAAAGCGUGGGUAGCAAACAGGAUUAGAUACCCCAGUAGUC
RNAcentral lists this ribosomal RNA (465 nucleotides) under uncultured bacterium. RNAcentral's name for it is "partial 16S ribosomal RNA". It matches the Rfam family "Bacterial small subunit ribosomal RNA", at positions 338 to 795 of the family's 1533-position model. The record is from RNAcentral.